This 521-nucleotide long non-coding RNA is filed under the name Vigna radiata. RNAcentral describes it as "long non-coding RNA (VRAD_LNC004762)". Lineage: Eukaryota; Viridiplantae; Streptophyta; Magnoliopsida; Fabales; Fabaceae. The record is from RNAcentral.
AGGUCAGGAUCAUUCCACCCAGGAUCGUUGCUAUAUGAAUCAAAAUGAUGCUGAGUAGGGGAGAAUCUAUCCAAAAACAAAUGCUUAAGAUCUUCCCAAUUGGCCCUGAAUUCUGGUGGAAGAUGAAUAAGCCACUCCCAUGCUGCUUCUUCUAAUGAAUGCGGAAAUGCCCUUACAAAUAUCGACUCCCCGGCAACGGCGCCAAAAUUUGAUGGGCUAUCACAGCCCAUACAAAUUUGAUUGCAUAAAAGAAUGCAGUAUAGACUAGGAAAUGACUCCUAGGUCGUCUCUCAAGGACCAAACUGUGGUUCGAGAAUUAGGUCAGACACGAAGUGGGGGGUUUGUGAAUGGUUUUGUGAAUGCGGAUAAACAAAAUCAAAUCACGAAUGUGAACAAAAUCUGAAAACAGAAAUGCAAAACGGAAUCAAAUACAAAAUAAUAACGGUUGGUCAUUAACUCAAUUACUAUGCUUCCAAUCACAACUAAACGACAAGUACAAACUACUCUAAUCCAAAUCCGAC